AGCAGCCGCGGUAAUUCCAGCUCCAAUAGCGUAUAUUAAAGUUGUUGCAGUUAAAAAGCUCGUAGUUGAAUUUUAGGCCUGGCCAGGCGGUCCGUCUUUGGCGAGUACUGUCUUGUUGUCGGGUCUUCCUUCUGGUGAACCAGUAUGUCCUUUAUUGGGUGUGUUGGGGAGCCAGGACCAUUACCUUGAAAAAAUUAGAGUGUUUAAAGCGGGCUAUUGCUUGAAUAGAUUAGCAUGGAAUAAUAGAAUAGGACGUUGUGGUUCUAUUUUGUUGGUUUCUAGGACCACCGUAAUGAUUAAUAGGGAUAGUUGGGGGCAUUAGUAUUCAAUUGUCAGAGGUGAAAUUCUUGGAUUUAUUGAAGACUAACUACUGCGAAAGCAUUUGCCAAGGAUGUUUUCAUUAAUCAAGAACGAAAGUUAGGGGAUCGAAGACGAUCAGAUACCGUCGUAGUCUUAACCAUAAACUAUGCCGACUAGGAAUCGGGCGACGUUAUUUUACGACUCGCUCGGCGCCUUAUGG
RNAcentral lists this ribosomal RNA (520 nucleotides) under uncultured Glomeromycotina. RNAcentral's name for it is "SSU rRNA". It matches the Rfam family "Eukaryotic small subunit ribosomal RNA", at positions 569 to 1093 of the family's 1831-position model. Lineage: Eukaryota; Fungi; Glomeromycota. The record is from RNAcentral.